GAAGGGUUAGUAUAAUUGAUUACAUAAGAUUGCAAGUCUUAGGAUUGAUUCUUCU
Molecule: transfer RNA, 55 nt
Filed under: Trichinella murrelli
Lineage: Eukaryota; Metazoa; Nematoda; Enoplea; Trichinellida; Trichinellidae
Description: tRNA-Cys
Source: RNAcentral